Molecule: long non-coding RNA, 1306 nt
Filed under: Bos taurus (domestic cattle)
Lineage: Eukaryota; Metazoa; Chordata; Mammalia; Artiodactyla; Bovidae
Description: LINC24065-v4
Source: RNAcentral
GGAAGAUCUUGGCUGUUACCUUUGUGGAACGGAUGCUCAAUGAUUCAAUUAAGGACUGUAGAAACUUUUGAGCUCUAGAAUGGAUGCCUAUUAGCAGAUUUCAGCAUCUCCCAUGGUCAUGUGCUCUGCAGACUAAGAACGGACCAGUGGGGCUGGCUGGAAAGCUCUUCCACGGACGCGCUCUCUGGUUGCCUCCAUGCCUUCGGUGUAUAGAGGCCCACAAAGAGAACCCGGAAGUUCAUGGUGGCCUCACUGUAGCAGCCUUAAGCCCACUAAUCAAUGCACUCAAGCGGAUGCAUGCGUUUUCCAUGAUUUCCUUCGUGUGUUGAGAGCCUAGAGAAGAACAAUGGACGCACAGCAGUGGGUUUAAGGAUCUUCCGUGGUCUUGGGCUCUACAGACUGAUAAUGGAUGCACCUGAAUUUAUUAAGCAUUCGACUGUGAUCAGGGCCUCUGCUGGUUUUCCUGUGUAUAAAUACAUGUGGGUCAUAAUGGAUCCUACAAGCUGAUUUCAGCUUCUGCUCUGAUUGAGAUCAUCAUGUUGCCUCUGUCAGGAGGGCGACAAAGACCACUAAAUGGGUGCACCUGGACUGAACAGACCACGAUCUCGAGGCUGCCAGUAUGUUUAAGAAAUGAGUACAUGACCACAUAGAGGAACAAAAACAAGCACAGAUCUGUAUAAAUGAUGAGAAGUGAAAAUUUAUGACUGAUUUGAUUAUGAUUAAUUGGAUCACUUUGGAUGAUUUUGAAAACAGUUUGAGCCCCAGUCAUCCAUUUUUACAGCUCUCUAAAUUUUUGUUUUAGGUUUUCCCUAAAGAUUCCUUAGUUGAUAGCAGUGUAAGCUAUUUUCAUCAUGAGGAAGAGCACACUGGAGAUGUAAGUAUAAUACUAGUCAAUAGUUUAGUUCUGAUAUUGGGUUCAUGGGCUUCCUCGUUGGCUCAACGGUAAAGAGUCUCUCUGCUAUGUAGGAGACGCAGGAGACGUGGGUUCGAUCCCUGGGUAAGGAAGAUCCCCUGGAAGAGGGCAUGGCAGCCCACUCCAGUAUUCUUGCCUGGAGAAUCCCUUGGGCAGAGGGGCCUGGCAGGCUACAGUCCAUACGGUCACAAAGAGUCAGACCCGCACAAUGCGUUCACAUUAUGAAAGAAAGGCCUACCAUGGACCAAUGAUGGGAAUGGAAUGCAUUUUGAAAUAUUUUUUUAUGAUCAAAACACCUAAAAACUACUGAGGUCCAUGUCAAAAAAAUUAUGUUUACAUCUGUGGAAAGGGAGAGACUUCAGUAAUGUUCAAGGGUUGUAUUGUCGGUCUUUG